GACGAACGCUGGCGGCGUGCUUAACACAUGCAAGUCGAACGGGAAGUCCCUGCUUUUGUGGGCUGCUCGAGUUGCGAACGGGUGAGUAACACUUGAGUAACCUGCCCUUGACUUUGGGAUAACUUCAUGAAACUUGGUCUAAUACCGGAUAGGAGCUCCUGCUUCAUGGUGGGGGUUGGAAAGUUUCGGCGGUUGGGGAUGGACUCGCGGCUUAUCAGAUUGUUGGUGAGGUAGUGUCUUACCAAGGCUUUGACGGGUAGCCGGCCUGAGAGGGUGACCGGACACAUUGGGACUGAGAUACGGCACAGACUCCUACGGGAGGCAGGAGUGGGGAAUAUUGCACAAUGGGCGGAAGCAUGAUGCAGCAACGCCGCGUGCGGGAUGAGGGCCUUCGGGUUGUAAACCGAUUUCGCCUGUGACGAAGCGUGAGUGACGGUAAUGGGUAAAGAAGCACCGGCUAACUACGUG
RNAcentral lists this ribosomal RNA (468 nucleotides) under uncultured bacterium. RNAcentral describes it as "partial 16S ribosomal RNA". It matches the Rfam family "Bacterial small subunit ribosomal RNA", at positions 28 to 507 of the family's 1533-position model. The record is from RNAcentral.